AUGAACGCUGGCGGCGUGCCUAAUACAUGCCAGUCGAGCGAACGGACGAGAAGCUUGCUUCUCUGAUGUUAGCGGCGGACGGGUGAGUAACACGUGGAUAACCUACCUAUAAGACUGGGAUAACUUCGGGAAACCGGAGCUAAUACCGGAUAAUAUUUUGAACCGCAUGGUUCAAAAGUGAAAGACGGUCUUGCUGUCACUUAUAGAUGGAUCCGCGCUGCAUUAGCUAGUUGGUAAGGUAACGGCUUACCAAGGCAACGAUGCAUAGCCGACCUGAGAGGGUGAUCGGCCACACUGGAACUGAGACACGGUCCAGACUCCUACGGGAGGCAGCAGUAGGGAAUCUUCCGCAAUGGGCGAAAGCCUGACGGAGCAACGCCGCGUGAGUGAUGAAGGUCUUCGGAUCGUAAAACUCUGUUAUUAGGGAAGAACAUAUGUGUAAGUAACUGUGCACAUCUUGACGGUACCUAAUCAGAAAGCCACGGCUAACUACAUG
This 496-nucleotide ribosomal RNA is filed under the name uncultured bacterium. RNAcentral describes it as "partial 16S ribosomal RNA". It matches the Rfam family "Bacterial small subunit ribosomal RNA", at positions 29 to 507 of the family's 1533-position model. The record is from RNAcentral.